UUAUAAAUAUAAUAAUAAAAUUAUUAACCAAUCUACCUCAUAGGUACAGAAAUUCUAGGCAGAUUGUUAUAAAACAGUCUAGCAACAUAGAAAAAGACUAGGCAUGAGGACCUUGUAGUUUUACUCUGAGAAGGCAAGAUAGUUUAAAGAUAGAUUUAUAAUUCCAAUUCAUGUAAUUAGCCAUAUUAACACAUCUAAUAUUUCAUUUUUUGAGUUUAUAUGGCUUUCAUUGUGGUUUUUCUAGAUAUAUAGUUGUCAAAUAACAUGUUACUAUAUCAAGAGAAGGCUUAUGACAAAUACAAUCUAUUUGUAGAAAACCAGAGAUGCAAAGAGAAACAUGUGACUCCCAAAAGGUCUAUGGACAGAAACAGCAGAUCCGGGGCUUUCUGCUGAAGUAGCCUAUGUUUCUCUUUUGAAUGAGAAACAAGGGAGUUCCUCCUCCUACCCAAGUUGCUGUUUCAACAUGAAGCCAGAGUCCAGUCAGAGGUGGAAGGCAGAGGAAAAGGUAACAGAUGAAAACAGCUCCCACCACUGGAGGAAAUAAAAAGAUACCCAAGAAGAUGUUCAAAUCUAUCUGGGAGAGUCUUCCAGGUUUCUGGGUACACAUUGAACAUGUCAACUGGAACCUACAAGUUAGAGCCCACAGAAGAUAUUUUGAAGAUAUGGACCUCCUAGAUAAGAGCUGAUCACUAUGACAUGUGUUAUUACCCUCAUCAAGAUUUUAAGGAAGCUCUCGAUAGUUCUUGGCAGACACCAUCUCUUAUGGAAGAAAUUUAUAGGAGACUCAAAAAUAUACAUAAUCUCCUCUGUAUAAUGUGGAAAAUCACAAGUAAACAUAGUUUAUCGCCUG
RNAcentral lists this long non-coding RNA (850 nucleotides) under Rattus norvegicus (Norway rat). RNAcentral's name for it is "long non-coding RNA NONRATT031444". The record is from RNAcentral. Lineage: Eukaryota; Metazoa; Chordata; Mammalia; Rodentia; Muridae.